GCCCCCGUAGCUCAGAGGUAGAGCGCCUUCCUGGUAAGAAGGAGGUUCCCGGGUUCAAUUCCCGGCGGGGGCU
This 73-nucleotide transfer RNA is filed under the name Armatimonadota bacterium. Its description in RNAcentral is "Armatimonadetes bacterium (hot springs metagenome) tRNA-Thr". It matches the Rfam family "tRNA". Rfam says of the family: Transfer RNA (tRNA) molecules are approximately 80 nucleotides in length. Their secondary structure includes four short double-helical elements and three loops (D, anti-codon, and T loops). Further hydrogen bonds mediate the characteristic L-shaped molecular structure. tRNAs have two regions of fundamental functional importance: the anti-codon, which is responsible for specific mRNA codon recognition, and the 3' end, to which the tRNAs corresponding amino acid is attached (by aminoacyl-tRNA synthetases). tRNAs cope with the degeneracy of the genetic code in two manners: having more than one tRNA (with a specific anti-codon) for a particular amino acid; and 'wobble' base-pairing, i.e. permitting non-standard base-pairing at the 3rd anti-codon position. RNAcentral also lists the same sequence under 2 other names. The record is from RNAcentral. Lineage: Bacteria; Bacillati; Armatimonadota.